Molecule: ribosomal RNA, 507 nt
Filed under: uncultured Glomus
Lineage: Eukaryota; Fungi; Glomeromycota; Glomeromycetes; Glomerales; Glomeraceae
Description: SSU rRNA
Rfam family: Eukaryotic small subunit ribosomal RNA
Source: RNAcentral
AGCAGCCGCGGUAAUUCCAGCUCCAAUAGCGUAUAUUAAAGUUGCUGCAGUUAAAAAGCUCGUAGUUGAAUUUCGGGACCAUCAUGUCGGUCGUGCCUCGGUACGUACUGGCAUUGUUGGUUUCUACCUUCUGACGAACCAUGAUGUCAUUUAUUUGGUGUCGUGGGAAAUCAGGACUGUUACUUUGAAAAAAUUGAGUGUUUAAAGCAGGCUCACGCUUGAAUACAUUAGCAUGGAAUAAUGAAAUAGGACGUUUGAUUCUAUUUUGUUGGUUUCUAGGAUCGACGUAAUGAUUAAUAGGGAUAGUUGGGGGCAUUAGUAUUCAAUUGUCAGAGGUGAAAUUCUUGGAUUUAUUGAAGACUAACUACUGCGAAAGCAUUUGCCAAGGAUGUUUUCAUUAAUCAAGAACGAAAGUUAGGGGAUCGAAGACGAUCAGAUACCGUCGUAGUCUUAGCCAUAAACUAUGCCGACUAGGGAUCGGAUGAUGUUAAUUUUUAAUGACUCAUU